GACGAACCGAGCGAGCGUUGUUCGGAAUCACUGGGCUUAAAGGGCGCGUAGGCGGGUUGCCAAGUUUGGGGUGAAAUCCUCCGGCUCAACCGGGGAAGGGCCUUGAAUACUGGCGGUCUGGAGGGGGGUAGGGGCGUGCGGAACUAACGGUGGAGCGGUGAAAUGCGUUGAUAUCGUUAGGAACUCCGGUGGCGAAGGCGGCACGCUGGACCCUCACUGACGCUGAGGCGCGAAAGCCGGGGGAGCGAACGGG
This 253-nucleotide ribosomal RNA is filed under the name uncultured bacterium. RNAcentral's name for it is "partial 16S ribosomal RNA". It matches the Rfam family "Bacterial small subunit ribosomal RNA", at positions 524 to 776 of the family's 1533-position model. The record is from RNAcentral.